AUACGUAGGUGACAAGCGUUAUCCGGAUUUACUGGGCGUAAAGGGCGUGUAGGCGGUCUUGCAAGUCAGAAGUGAAAUUCCUGAGCUCAACUCGGGCGCUGCUUCUGAAACUGCAGGACUUGAGUGCUGGAGGGGAUAGCGGAAUUCCUAGUGGAGCGGUAAAAUGCGCAGAUAUUAGGAAGAACACCGGUGGCGAAGGCGGCUAGCUGGACAGUAACUGACGCUGAGGCGCGAAAGCGUGGGGAGCAAACAGGAUUAGAUGCCCUGGUAGUCUACGCCGUAAACGAUGAAUACUAGGUGUAGGGGGUAUCGACUCCCUCUGUGCCGCAGUUAACACAAUAAGUAUUCCGCCUGGGGAGUACGGCCGCAAGGUUGAAACUCAAAUGAAUUGACGGG
RNAcentral lists this ribosomal RNA (396 nucleotides) under uncultured bacterium. RNAcentral's name for it is "partial 16S ribosomal RNA". It matches the Rfam family "Bacterial small subunit ribosomal RNA", at positions 523 to 917 of the family's 1533-position model. The record is from RNAcentral.